This 1214-nucleotide ribosomal RNA is filed under the name Rhagoletis fausta. RNAcentral describes it as "partial 16S ribosomal RNA". Lineage: Eukaryota; Metazoa; Arthropoda; Insecta; Diptera; Tephritidae. The record is from RNAcentral.
GCAAAUCAAUAUAAAUUGAUUAGUAUUUAUUUAUUAAUUUAUUUUUUUUUAUUUAUAAUUUAUUAAAAAUAAUUAUAUAAUUUAAUGUUUUAGUAGUUUUUAAUGAAAAAAUAAUAUUAAUAAUAGUUUAUUAAGUAUUGUGAAGAUAAUUGAAAUAAUUUGAAAAAUUAUUAUUUUAAAAGAAAAUUUUAUUUAUUGUACCUUGUGUAUCAGGGUUUAUUAAAUAAUUAAUAAUUAUUUUAUUGAUCUCGAUUUUAUAAGAGUUAAUUAUUUAUUAAAGUUAAUGUGUCAAAAUUAUUUUAAAUAAAUAAUUAGAAAUGAAAUGUUAUUCGUUUAUAAAGGUAUCUAGUUUUUUUAGAAAUAGAUUUAAUUUACAAAUUUUUAAUUUUUUAUUUAUUUAUUUAAAUGAGAAAAUUAUUAAUUUGAAUAUUUUAAGGGAUAAGCUUUAAAAUAAAUUAUUAAAAAUUAGUAAUGUUAAUAUAAAAUGUAUGAAUAGAAUUUUCAAUCAUUUAUAAAUUUGUUAUAAAUUAUUUUAUAAUUUAUAUUAUUUACUAUUAUUUUAAAUUUUUAUAAAAAUUUUUUCAUAAAUUUUUUAUGAAAAUAAAUAAUGAUAAAAUUAGUAUAUAUUCAUAUAGUAUAUAUAAUUUUAUUUGAUAAGUUUAUAUAAAGAACUCGGCAAAUUUAUAUACUCGCCUGUUUAACAAAAACAUGUCUUUUUGAGUUAUUUUUAAAGUCUGACCUGCCCACUGAAUAAUUUUGAAUGGCCGCAGUAUUUUAACUGUGCAAAGGUAGCAUAAUCAUUAGUCUUUUAAUUGGAGGCUGGUAUGAAUGGUUGGACGAAGUAUAAGCUGUUUCAUGUAAAUUUGUUAUAGAAUUUUAUAUUUUAGUUAAAAAGCUAAAAUUUAAUUAAAAGACGAGAAGACCCUAUAAAUCUUUAUAUUUAAUAUUAUUUUAAUUUUUUAGAUAUAUUUUAUUUUAAUAAUAUUAAAUAUUUUGUUGGGGUGAUGUUAAAAUUUAAUAAACUUUUAAUUAUUAAAAAUCAUUAAUUUAUGAUUUAUUGAUCCGUUAAUAACGAUUAUAAGAUUAAGUUACUUUAGGGAUAACAGCGUAAUUUUUUUGGAGAGUUCUUAUCGAUAAAAAAGUUUGCGACCUCGAUGUUGGAUUAAGAAAUAUUUUUAGGUGUAGCUGCUUAAAUAUUAAGUCUGUUCGACUUU